UUUCUUCUAUUCUUCUCUCUAUACGUUAGUGUUCUAACCAAUAAUCACCGAUGCGAUGUUCUGUCUGAUCGAUUCAGAAACCAUCUAAUAAAUGCCAAAGUGUUGUACUUUGUGAAUUUUGUUAAGGUUCGAAUCUCGUGACUACCGAUUUGGGUUUUACACAAAUACGUAUUCCAUUCUGUUAAACUAUAUGAAUACUCCCAACUACACACUUACAAUCAAAAAAGAUGUUAAAUCAUCAGAAGAUUCAGAACAAUAAAGUAUACGCUUAAUUAUCAGAAGGAAUAGAAUCAAGAAGCUUGCUAAAUCAUGUUUAUACAGUAAUUACAGUAGAUUGGAGUA
RNAcentral lists this long non-coding RNA (342 nucleotides) under Helianthus annuus (common sunflower). RNAcentral's name for it is "sRNA HanXRQr2_Chr16g0762391". Lineage: Eukaryota; Viridiplantae; Streptophyta; Magnoliopsida; Asterales; Asteraceae. The record is from RNAcentral.